Molecule: ribosomal RNA, 408 nt
Filed under: uncultured bacterium
Lineage: Bacteria
Description: partial 16S ribosomal RNA
Rfam family: Bacterial small subunit ribosomal RNA
Source: RNAcentral
GACGAACGCUGGCGGCGUGCCUAAUACAUGCAAGUAGAACGCAGUUGCGAACGGGUGAGUAACGCGUAGGUAACCUGCCUCAUAGCGGGGGAUAACUAUUGGAAACGAUAGCUAAUACCGCAUACUGUGAGAUGGACCUGCGUUGUAUUAGCUAGGUGGUGAGGUAAAGGCUCGCCAAGGCGACGAUACAUAGCCGACCUGAGAGGGUGGUCGGCCACACUUGGACUACGACACUGCCCACACUCCUUCGGGAGGUCGCAGGUGGGAAUCUUCGGCAAUUGACGUAAAUCUGACCGAGCAACGCCGCGUGAGUGGAGGAGGUUUUCGGAUCGUAAAGCUCUGUUGUUCGCGGAGCGGUAACUACCCAGAAAGGGACGGCUAACUACGUGCCAGCAGCCGCGGUAAUUC